UUCCACAGCGAGUUCUUCACUGGUCUUGCUUCAAAGAGUUCAAAAAAAAAAAAAAAAAUGCUGUUGUUAAAAAGAGCAAGAGGUCUCAGCAUGGAGCUGUGUGACAAGACCACCAAAGUAGCAGGCACGUUUGGUUUGUUGUUCAAAGUUUGCGUGUUUAAGUUGGCUUCUCCCCCAGAUCUCCGAACGAAAUGUGCACAAAGAUUCCUGUUCCUUAGCCAGAGGCGAGCGGGGCGAAGCCACCAAUCCUUUCCAAAACAUGAUCUGUUCUUCAGCAUGGCACCGAAUUCAACAGGCGCUCGGGAUUUCAGACUCGUACCACACAGAUGUUCAUCAACAGUUUCCUAAAAAAUAGAGCGAGCAGCCCAGAGACUGACUGGAACCCACGGCUUUGACCAAAGACUUUGAGAGAAGCUGAAAUCGAAGAAUAAAGCUUAAUGGCACGAGUACAUUCAGGUGGUCAGCUGACUUCAUGUUAUUUCCACAUAACGUUGCCGUGUCUAGACCUGAGCGACUGAUCAACCCCAGACCAUAACACCAUCUCCAGAGGCUUGUACAGUGGACACUAUGCAUGAUGGGUGCAUCGCUUCAUGCUCCUCCCUUCUUACCCUGACAUGCCCAUCACUCUGGAAUAGGGUCAGUCUGGACUCAUCAGGUCACAUGAUCCAAAGUCCAAUCUUUAUUCUCUCUAAUGGACACACAGCUGUUUAGUCUCAGUCCUGUGAGUUCUCAUCACAUUAUGUGUGUGUGUGUGAGUGUGUGUGUAUGAACAUUGACUAUUGAACACAGCAUUGAUAACUACCGCCCAUUUGUAUCAUGAUGCAGCUUCAUCACGUGUCAUCUCCGUGUGUGAUUUGUUUCUGACCUCAUUUCUCCCACGGACUGGACGGUUCAGCGCUCUUCUUCUACAUUUGGUCAGUUACUAAAACCCUUAAAACUCUAGUGGUUCAGGUCCAUGCCGGCAACACAGCGUAGGUCAGUGAUGAUUAAUAAAAGAAUGAAUACGUAUAUGGAAGCCCUGCUGCUGAUAACCUGGCUUCUGGUUAUCAGGACUCUCAAAAUGAGCAUAUUAUUAUUAGUUUGGUGAUAAAAACAAACGGAAAACACGCGAUCAUGUAGAACUUUCCUAUGUCUUUGCCUGUGUCAGCCAUUUUUAAGUUUUUGCCCAAUCAGAUUGCCUGUUUUGUGCUGAAAUAAAGGACAUGUUACUCUAUACAGCACAAUCCUGAGCCUUAUAUAUGUUUAUAUAUCUUGUAUGUCUUUUUAAAGAAACAGCAAAACAAAUAAUGUCUAAAAUGUCUUAAAGGGCUACAUCUAUUCAAAUCUCAAUCUCAAAUUGUAAAAAUUGUUUUCUUUUCAUGAUGCAGGCCAAUAAUGAAUAAAGAUUUUUUGUUUG
Long non-coding RNA from Clarias gariepinus (North African catfish), 1396 nucleotides. RefSeq lists it as uncharacterized. The record is from RefSeq and is a predicted model, not a curated record. NCBI's taxonomy places the organism in Eukaryota, Metazoa, Chordata, Actinopteri, Siluriformes, Clariidae. The transcript has 3 exons.